RNAcentral lists this ribosomal RNA (614 nucleotides) under uncultured Actinomycetes bacterium. RNAcentral's name for it is "SSU rRNA". It matches the Rfam family "Bacterial small subunit ribosomal RNA", at positions 291 to 915 of the family's 1533-position model. Lineage: Bacteria; Bacillati; Actinomycetota; Actinomycetes. The record is from RNAcentral.
CCUGAGAGGGCGACCGGCCACACUGGGACUGAGACACGGCCCAGACUCCUACGGGAGGCAGCAGUGGGGAAUAUUGCACAAUGGGCGGAAGCCUGAUGCAGCGACGCCGCGUGAGGGAUGAAGGCCUUCGGGUUGUAAACCUCUUUCGACAGGGACGAAGCGCAAGUGACGGUACCUGGAGAAGAAGCGCCGGCCAACUACGUGCCAGCAGCCGCGGUAAGACGUAGGGCGCGAGCGUUGUCCGGAUUUAUUGGGCGUAAAGAGCUCGUAGGCGGCUUGUUGCGUCAGCUGUGAAAACCCGCAGCUCAACUGUGGGCUUGCAGCUGAUACGGGCAGGCUUGAGUUCGGUAGGGGAGACUGGAAUUCCUGGUGUAGCGGUGAAAUGCGCAGAUAUCAGGAGGAACACCGGUGGCGAAGGCGGGUCUCUGGGCCGAUACUGACGCUGAGGAGCGAAAGCGUGGGGAGCGAACAGGAUUAGAUACCCUGGUAGUCCACGCUGUAAACGUUGGGCGCUAGGUGUGGGGGGCCUCUCCGGUUCUCUGUGCCGCAGCUAACGCAUUAAGCGCCCCGCCUGGGGAGUACGGCCGCAAGGCUAAAACUCAAAGGAAUUGACG